CGCCGUGACUGCGACCACAAGAUCCCACUCAUACCAGGAGCUCAACCAGUGAACAUCAGACCAUACCGGCACAAACCCGAGCACAAGAAGGAGAUCGAUGCCCAAGUCGAAGAGGUGCUCCACAAAGGUGUCAUCCAGAAAAGCAGCAGUCCAUUCUGCUCACCCGUGAUCCUCGUCAAGAAGAAAGACGGAACAUGGCGUCUUUGCAUCGACUACAGACACCUCAACGCCCUCACCUACAUCGCCAAGUAUCCAGUACCAAUUAUCGAGGAGUUGCUGGAUGAACUACACGGUGCGGCCUGGUUCUCCAAAUUGGAUCUCCGCUCCGGUUAUCAUCAAAUUCGCUUGGCGGAAGGCGAGGAGUACAAGACAGCCUUUCAAACGCAUUCAGAGCACUACGAGUUCCUCGUGGUUUCCUUCGGCCUGGCAGGCGGACCAGCCACAUUCAACGGUGCCCUGACAACUACUCUCAAGCCAGUCGACCGCAAGUGUGUCCUCCACUUCUUCGAUGACAUAUUGGUUUUCAGCAACACCCUUCGCGACCACAUCAACCAUCUCCGUCAGGUCCUGCAACUCCUGCGCCGUGACCAAUGGCAUGUCAAAAGAUCCAAAUGUGAGUUUGCCUAG
Molecule: ribosomal RNA, 627 nt
Filed under: Triticum aestivum (bread wheat)
Lineage: Eukaryota; Viridiplantae; Streptophyta; Magnoliopsida; Poales; Poaceae
Description: partial small subunit ribosomal RNA
Source: RNAcentral